This 73-nucleotide transfer RNA is filed under the name Acidimicrobiia bacterium. RNAcentral's name for it is "tRNA-Arg". It matches the Rfam family "tRNA". Rfam says of the family: Transfer RNA (tRNA) molecules are approximately 80 nucleotides in length. Their secondary structure includes four short double-helical elements and three loops (D, anti-codon, and T loops). The record is from RNAcentral. Lineage: Bacteria; Bacillati; Actinomycetota; Acidimicrobiia.
GCCCUCGUAGCUCAGGGGAUAGAGCAACUGCCUCCUAAGCAGUAGGCCGCAGGUUCGAAUCCUGCCGAGGGCG